This 171-nucleotide ribosomal RNA is filed under the name Argentina kagoshimae (smallmouth argentine). RNAcentral's name for it is "partial 12S rRNA". Lineage: Eukaryota; Metazoa; Chordata; Actinopteri; Argentiniformes; Argentinidae. The record is from RNAcentral.
CACCGCGGUUAUACGAGAGACCCAAGUUGACAGUCUUCGGCGUAAAGAGUGGUUAAGGAACUUAUUAAACUAAAGCCAAACACCCCCUAGGCUGUUAUACGCACCUGAGGGCACGAAGCUCCCCCACGAAAGUGGCUUUACCCCUUCCCUGAACCCACGACAGCUAUGUUA